AACCAACGCUGGCGGCGUGCCUAAUACAUGCAAGUCGAACGGGGAAAGCUUUCGGGUGAGUACUAGUGGCGCACGGGUGAGGAACGCGUGGAUAAUCUGCCUUAGAGUGGGGGAUAACUAGUCGAAAGAUUAGCUAAUACCGCAUAAGACCACGAGAGCUGCGGCUUUUGAGGUCAAAGGUUUUUCGCUCUAAGAUGAGUCCGCGUAAGAUUAGCUAGUUGGUGAGGUAACGGCUCACCAAGGCGACGAUCUUUAACUGGUCUGAGAGGAUGAUCAGUCACACUGGAACUGAGACACGGUCCAGACUCCUACGGGAGGCAGCAGUAGGGAAUAUUGCACAAUGGAGGAAACUCUGAUGCAGCGACGCCGCGUGAGUGAUGAAGGCCUUCGGAUCGUAAAGCUCUGUCGCAGGGGAAUAACACAAUGAAGGUACCCUGUAAGAAAGGAUCGGCUAACUUCGUG
RNAcentral lists this ribosomal RNA (462 nucleotides) under uncultured bacterium. Its description in RNAcentral is "partial 16S ribosomal RNA". It matches the Rfam family "Bacterial small subunit ribosomal RNA", at positions 32 to 507 of the family's 1533-position model. The record is from RNAcentral.